AGAGUUUGAUCCUGGCUCAGAUUGAACGCUGGCGGCAUGCCUUACACAUGCAAGUCGAACGGUAACAGGUUAAGCUGACGAGUGGCGAACGGGUGAGUAAUGUAUCGGGACGUGCCCAGUCGUGGGGGAUAACUGCUCGAAAGAGCAGCUAAUACCGCAUACGACCUGAGGGUGAAAGCGGGGGAUCGCAAGACCUCGCGCGAUUGGAGCGGCCGAUAUCAGAUUAGGUAGUUGGUGGGGUAAAGGCCCACCAAGCCAACGAUCUGUAGCUGGUCUGAGAGGACGACCAGCCACACUGGGACUGAGACACGGCCCAGACUCCCACGGGAGGCAGCAGUGGGGAAUUUUGGACAAUGGGCGCAAGCCUGAUCCAGCCAUGCCGCGUGCGGGAAGAAGGCCUUCGGGUUGUAAACCGCUUUUGUCAGGGAAGAAAAGGUUCUGGCUAAUACCUGGGACUCAUGACGGUACCUGAAGAAUAAGCACCGGCUAACUACGUGCCAGCAGCCGCGGUAAUACGUAGGGUGCAAGCGUUAAUCGGAAUUACUGGGCGUAAAGCGUGCGCAGGCGGUUAUGCAAGACAGAGGUGAAAUCCCCGGGCUCAACCUGGGAACUGCCUUUGUGACUGCAUGGCUAGAGUGCGGCAGAGGGGGAUGGAAUUCCGCGUGUAGCAGUGAAAUGCGUAGAUAUGCGGAGGAACACCGAUGGCGAAGGCAAUCCCCUGGGCCUGCACUGACGCUCAUGCACGAAAGCGUGGGGAGCAAACAGGAUUAGAUACCCUGGUAGUCCACGCCCUAAACGAUGUCAACUGGUUGUUGGGAGGGUUUCUUCUCAGUAACGUAGCUAACGCGUGAAGUUGACCGCCUGGGGAGUACGGCCGCAAGGUUGAAACUCAAAGGAAUUGACGGGGACCCGCACAAGCGGUGGAUGAUGUGGUUUAAUUCGAUGCAACGCGAAAAACCUUACCUACCCUUGACAUGUCUGGAAUCCUGAAGAGAUUUGGGAGUGCUCGAAAGAGAGCCAGAACACAGGUGCUGCAUGGCCGUCGUCAGCUCGUGUCGUGAGAUGUUGGGUUAAGUCCCGCAACGAGCGCAACCCUUGUCAUUAGUUGCUACGAAAGGGCACUCUAAUGAGACUGCCGGUGACAAACCGGAGGAAGGUGGGGAUGACGUCAGGUCAUCAUGGCCCUUAUGGGUAGGGCUACACACGUCAUACAAUGGCCGGGACAGAGGGCUGCCAACCCGCGAGGGGGAGCUAAUCCCAGAAACCCGGUCGUAGUCCGGAUCGUAGUCUGCAACUCGACUGCGUGAAGUCGGAAUCGCUAGUAAUCGCGGAUCAGCUUGCCGCGGUGAAUACGUUCCCGGGUCUUGUACACACCGCCCGUCACACCAUGGGAGCGGGUUCUGCCAGAAGUAGUUAGCCUAACCGUAAGGAGGGCGAUUACCACGGCAGGGUUCGUGACUGGGGUGAAGUCGUAACAAGGUAACC
Molecule: ribosomal RNA, 1485 nt
Filed under: uncultured bacterium
Lineage: Bacteria
Description: 16S ribosomal RNA
Rfam family: Bacterial small subunit ribosomal RNA
Source: RNAcentral